RNAcentral lists this ribosomal RNA (265 nucleotides) under uncultured bacterium. RNAcentral's name for it is "partial 16S ribosomal RNA". It matches the Rfam family "Bacterial small subunit ribosomal RNA", at positions 335 to 617 of the family's 1533-position model. The record is from RNAcentral.
ACUCCUACGGGAGGCAGCAGUGGGGAAUCUUAGACAAUGGGGGAAACCCUGAUCUAGCCAUGCCGCGUGGACGAUGAAGGCCUUAGGGUUGUAAAGUCCUUUCAGCUGGGAAGAUAAUGACGGUACCAGCAGAAGAAGCCCCGGCUAACUCCGUGCCAGCAGCCGCGGUAAUACGGAGGGGCGUAGCGUUGUUCGGAAUUACUGGGCGUAAAGCGCACGUAGGCGGACUAUUAAGUCAGGGGUGAAAUCCCGGGGCUCAACCCCG